AUAUAUGUAUUCUAGAUCCAUCUUACUCCUCGUUUUUGAUAUUCGGUUGAAUAUUACUAGCUAAUUAAGAUCCUCAGCACUGAACACAUAAUUUUAUCAGAUACAUUAAUCAAUUUUCUACAUUAUUGGCUCGUUUUAACUAAUCACUUUUUAUUUUAUUGUGUCUAAAAUAAGGUUAAACCAAUAAAGUCAAGUCAAUAAAGUCAAGGUAUAAAACUGUCCUCAUCUCUCUCCUUCUCCAGCUUGGUCCGGAUAUUCAGCUGGCUGAUCGUUCCAUAGCUCGACCUCAUUCCGCUCGUUUUGUGCCGACAGCCAACAUUCGCUACAACAACGGCAUUUCGUAUUUCUUAUAUAUCAGCAUAAACACGUUGAUCCAUCAUCGAUUUGUGUCAUGUAUUGGACCACCUCUCCGCGGACUACAAGACCUGAAGGAUGACACCGCCACCGCCCGCGUUCAUCUAGUUCCAAUUGUCUAGUACAAUAUAUUAUUUAUUUUUAUGUUUUCGUGUUCAGGAGUCUCAUUGUUUUCAUUUCAUACAUUUUCUUUUUUUAGUUUAGAUUACUUUCAAGAUUUUCUCUAAGUAAAAAUAUUUUCUUCUCCGCUCCGCAAAGAUACUACGAUCGAUGUAGUAUGCAGAUGCUGAUGCAGAUUAAAAUCGCUUUUUCAAUAAUGUAUAAGUAAUGUUGUACAAACGCACACACGCACACAUAUAUCAACUCGAAUUUUAGCUAUUUUGUAGGUACUUAUCAAUGUAUAAUUGUAUGUAUAUCUUCUGUAUAUAUAGGGAUAUAUCUAUAUAAUGCUGCCCAUGCGGAUGGCAGGCUGGCUGGCUGGUGUAUACAUAGACUUAGUGGCUAGUACUAGCUAACCUAUAGAUUGCAUCACUUAGGGACUAUUUGGGGGAAGUGAACUCGAUACUCCAUUGCAGUUUUAGGAUCUUCUCUUAUUCUUAUGGUGUGUUAUUAUCCAUAUGGAUUUAAUUGAUAUAUUGUAAGGCAUUAUCGCAUUUUUAAAGUACGUCAUUCUGUUUAAAAUCUAGGCUAACUUUGCUCUUCUCCUGCUCAUCUCAGCGCUACGGUUAAAACAGGGAAUUAAGGAAUUUACACUCUCAGUUUUUACUUAGACCUAAUCUAAUCUCUAGCUAAUCGAUCCAGCUCCUCGAUCCUCAAUCCUAUCCUCCUCGUUCGAACCAACACUUCCAUUGUCCGUCCACAAAGAUUCUCUAAAUAAAUGUGGUAUUGCAUAAGAAUUACAUUCAGCGUGUUUCCCCCGACCUCUUCUCUUUUUCUUCUCUUGUUUGUAGACACAUUCGUUUCAUUAAUUGUUUUGUUUGUUGUUUCCUAUACACGAGUACUCACACA
Molecule: long non-coding RNA, 1362 nt
Organism: Drosophila miranda
Lineage: Eukaryota; Metazoa; Arthropoda; Insecta; Diptera; Drosophilidae
Exons: 2
Source: RefSeq, a predicted model, not a curated record